CUGGAUCCAGAUCUGAAGAAAAUAAAUGAAAAACACGAAACAUACUUUGCAAAGGGGGAACAAGAACAAUAAAAUCCCUAAAUCAUAUAAAAAAAAACCCAGAUCUAUAGAGAACAAUAAGAACCCUAAUCAUACAAAACCCAUAAUCUUAAUUUACAACCCUAAAUCGAAAACAUGAGGACAAUAAAAACCCUAAAUCGUGAGGCACCGCAGAUCUGUUUCCAUUUUUGUCCCCUUCAACGUCGCCAUAUCAGGUUGUGAGGCACCGCAAAUCUGUUUCUUCUUCAGGUUUCCGGAUCUAAUCUUAGAGUUCACUAUCGGAUUUGAUGUU
RNAcentral lists this long non-coding RNA (331 nucleotides) under Brassica napus (rape). Its description in RNAcentral is "long non-coding RNA (BNAP_LNC016721)". The record is from RNAcentral. Lineage: Eukaryota; Viridiplantae; Streptophyta; Magnoliopsida; Brassicales; Brassicaceae.